CUCUACCAAAUGCCCUUCCAUCGGUGGAACCGCUUUUCCCCAUGUGGCCCAAGAACCUCCCGGACCCAACUCUGUUCCUGAGGAUUCACUUUUCCCACAGAACACCGCCAGACCUCCAGCAGCCAGG
Molecule: long non-coding RNA, 127 nt
Organism: Lynx canadensis (Canada lynx)
Lineage: Eukaryota; Metazoa; Chordata; Mammalia; Carnivora; Felidae
Exons: 3
Source: RefSeq, a predicted model, not a curated record